This 886-nucleotide ribosomal RNA is filed under the name uncultured archaeon. RNAcentral's name for it is "bacterial SSU rRNA". It matches the Rfam family "Archaeal small subunit ribosomal RNA", at positions 1 to 894 of the family's 1478-position model. The record is from RNAcentral.
UUCCGGAAGAUCCUGCCGGACCUGACUGCUAUCGGAUUGAUACUAAGCCAUGCGAGUCAUUGUAGCAAUACAAGGCAGACGGCUCAGUAACGCGUAGUCAACCUAACCUAUGGACGGGAAUAACCUCGGGAAACUGAGAAUAAUGCCCGAUAGAACAUUAUGCCUGGAAUGGUUUAUGUUCCAAAUGAUUUAUCGCCGUAGGAUGGGACUGCGGCCUAUCAGUUUGUUGGUGAGGUAAUGGCCCACCAAGACUAUUACAGGUACGGGCUCUGAGAGGAGUAGCCCGGAGAUGGGUACUGAGACACGGACCCAGGCCCUAUGGGGCGCAGCAGGCGAGAAAACUUUGCAAUGUGCGAAAGCACGACAAGGUUAAUCCGAGUGGUUUCUGCUAAAGGAACCUUUUGUCGGUCCUAGAAACACCGAUGAAUAAGGGGUGGGCAAGUUCUGGUGUCAGCCGCCGCGGUAAAACCAGCACCUCAAGUGGUCAGGAUGAUUAUUGGGCCUAAAGCAUCCGUAGCCUGCUUUGUUAGUUUUCGGUUAAAUCUGUACGCUCAACGUACAGGCUGCCGGGAAUACUGCAAAGCUAGGGAGUGGGAGAGGUAGACGGUACUCGGUAGGAAGGGGUAAAAUCCUUUGAUCUAUUGAUGACCACCUGUGGCGAAGGCGGUCUACCAGAACACGUCCGACGGUGAGGGAUGAAAGCUGGGGGAGCAAACCGGAUUAGAUACCCGGGUAGUCCCAGCCGUAAACCAUGCAAACUCAGUGAUGCAUUGGCUUGUGGCCAAUGCGGUGCUGCAGGGAAGCCGUUAAGUUUGCCGCCUGGGAAGUACGUACGCAAGUAUGAAACUUAAAGGAAUUGGCGGGGGAGCACCACAAGCCGUGAAGC